AUAUCAGUAAGCGGAGGAAAAGAAACUAACAAGGAUUACCUCAGUAGCGGCGAGUGAAGAGGUAAAAGCUCAAGUUAAAAAUCUGUGGCAUAAAGUUACAGAAUUGUAAUCUAAAGUAGUGAUCCGAAGGGAAGGUGUCGCAUAAGUUCCUUGGAACAGGACGCUAAAAAGGGUGAAAGCCCCGUAUUAGGCGAUGCUUAACCGUAGGAUAACUAUCAUAGAGUCGGGUUGUUUGGGACUGCAGCCCUAAAUGGGAGAUAAAUUUCUUCUAAAGCUAAAUAUUGGCCAGAGACCGAUAGCGCACAAGUA
Molecule: ribosomal RNA, 309 nt
Filed under: uncultured eukaryote
Lineage: Eukaryota
Description: partial large subunit ribosomal RNA
Rfam family: Eukaryotic large subunit ribosomal RNA
Source: RNAcentral